Molecule: ribosomal RNA, 492 nt
Filed under: uncultured bacterium
Lineage: Bacteria
Description: partial 16S ribosomal RNA
Rfam family: Bacterial small subunit ribosomal RNA
Source: RNAcentral
AGUGAACGCUGGCGGUAGGCCUAACACAUGCCAGUCGAACGGCAGCACAGUAAGAUCUUGCUCUUACGGGUGGCGAGUGGCGGACGGGUGAGGAAUACAUCGGAAUCUACUUUUUCGUGGGUGAUAACGUAGGGAAACUUACGCUAAUACCGCAUACGACCUACGGGUGAAAGCAGGGGAUCUUCGGACCUUGCGCGAUUGUAUGAGCCGAUGUCGGAUUAGCUAGUUGGCUGGGUAAAGGCCCACCAAGGCGACGAUCCGUAGCUGGUCUGAGAGGAUGAUCAGCCACACUGGAACUGAGACACGGUCCAGACUCCUACGGGAGGCAGCAGUGGGGAAUAUUGGACAAUGGGCGCAAGCCUGACCCAGCCAUACCGCGUGGGUGAAGAAGGCCUUCGGGUUGUAAAGCCCUUUUGUUGGGAAAGAACAGCAGCAGGUUAAUACCCCGCUGUUUUGACGGUACCCAAAGAAUAAGCACCGGCUAACUUCGUG